RNAcentral lists this long non-coding RNA (666 nucleotides) under Anas platyrhynchos platyrhynchos (common mallard). Its description in RNAcentral is "lncRNA (ENSAPLG00000022453.1)". The record is from RNAcentral. Lineage: Eukaryota; Metazoa; Chordata; Aves; Anseriformes; Anatidae.
UUUUCCUUUAUUUUAAGUCAAAUCUGGUUAGUAAAAAUUUGGCUUAGCAUAAAAAAAAUGUAUUUUCUUUUUCCUAUACCAGGACUUUGAAUGCAACAAAAGAACAAAUGAACUCCAUAGCUCUAAGAGCCCUUCAAAACUGAAUGGAUUCUGUCACAAACAAGGAAAAACGUGGCUGGCCAGACCCAGUUCCUGGGUCAAGCUACUGUAUUUUGGUGCUGGAGAGGAAGAGAUUUCCAGUGAAACAGUUAAAGGUAUCAAAAUGUCAACAGAUGUCAAAAGGAAUGGGUCCUGAAAUACCACAGAGUAGGUGAGCAGUCUCAAUCUUCUGUGUGGUUUUCAUGCCAGUUAUUGCCAGCAGAAAUGAAUAUAUUUUGAGUUACCUGGUCCUGGUUUCCUUACUCUAAAGAUGAAAGCACAUUCCAGUUAUAUGUACCUCCAUAUAGCCUAAGCCAAAGUCAAGGUAAUCUAUUUUUUUGACUACAUCUUUUUAUCUUGAACAACUAUUUCAGGAAAAAUACAGACUGAUGAUUCUAUAAUGUAUCAAUUAAUUAAACUGAUAACAUGUUAGAUAGACAAAACUUUCAUUUUGCAAUGACUUAUUUCUGAACUUUGAAUAAUUCUGAUAAAGUCAAUGGAAAUACAGAGAAUAUAUACAUAUAUAAA